GAAGUUAUUUAUUCAGCAUUGGGACAUAAAAUUAACUUAAAAUUUAAAUAUUGAAGAUGCUUUAAUUAAAGUUAAAGACUAGCCA
Molecule: small RNA, 85 nt
Organism: Staphylococcus aureus subsp. aureus NCTC 8325
Lineage: Bacteria; Bacillati; Bacillota; Bacilli; Caryophanales; Staphylococcaceae
Rfam family: S. aureus tsr33 small RNA
Source: Rfam